UCUUAUCAAGAGUGGUGUAGGGAAGUGCCCGUAGAUACCACGGCAACCGUCUUUUAUGACAAGGUGCCAAGUCACUGAAUCAAUCGAUUCGAAGAUGAG
RNAcentral lists this non-coding RNA (99 nucleotides) under Candidatus Salinicoccus merdavium. RNAcentral describes it as "SAM riboswitch (S box leader)". It matches the Rfam family "SAM riboswitch aptamer (S box leader)". From Rfam's summary of the family: The SAM riboswitch is found upstream of a number of genes which code for proteins involved in methionine or cysteine biosynthesis in Gram-positive bacteria. The SAM riboswitch acts at the level of transcription termination control. The predicted structure consists of a complex stem-loop region followed by a single stem loop terminator region. Lineage: Bacteria; Bacillati; Bacillota; Bacilli; Caryophanales; Staphylococcaceae. The record is from RNAcentral.